Bradysia coprophila is the source of this 935-nucleotide long non-coding RNA. Lineage: Eukaryota; Metazoa; Arthropoda; Insecta; Diptera; Sciaridae. The record is from RefSeq and is a predicted model, not a curated record.
UGUGAGUGACUUUCCAUAACGCACAUUGCUGAUACUGUAGAGGACAUACUUCAUGCUAAAUCUCUGAACGGGUCAACUUCAUGUUCGACCUGUAGGUCAGCUAUUUGAGCAUAGGUCAGAUAAUAAUUCUAUAACGGAAUUGCGACCACAAAGAGAGCAAAAAAUAAUAAUUUCUCUCAUUAGACCUAGAUGUUUUGAAUGAACCAGACCAGAUGAGGAAAAUUCUAUUGAUUAAGUUAUGAAAAGCGCUUAUGAUUAAUGAAGUUAAGAAUUUAAGAAAUUUUAUGAAACAAAGAAAAAAAACCAACAACAAGAAAAUCGAAUGGAAUUGAUUAAUUAUGCGGUUUCAAAGCAAAAAUCUUCAAUGAGCUAAGAAAAAUCAUUUGCGGAACAAUAUUAAAUGUUUGGAAAAUAAAAUUAAAAAGAAAUAAAAAUUUUGAAUACUUAUGGGAUGGGAUCAAAUUACGAUUGAAAUUUGUCAACAAACAUUGGUAAAGAUGAAAUGAAUUUCAUGAGUAAUUUUUAUGAAAGCUGUGAUUAUUUAUCUAAUAUUUAACAAAACAAAAAAAUGAAUUGGAAAAUACUAUAGUUGACGAACGGGUAUGACCACAUUUUAUGAAAGAUAGGAUUUAUAAAUAUUUCGUUGAUUUUUAUCGUUUUUCUUCUUUUUUCUUUGGGUUUAAAAAUUGUUUUUUUAAAAUUUUAUUCAUUUCAUUGAAAUAUUUUGAUUAUUUUUUUUCGGUUUGAUGUUCGAUGUUAAAGAGUUUUUGCAAAUAAGUAAAAAAAAAAAACGGUCAAGCGGAUAUGUUACGAUAAGUUGUUCAAUGUUUAAAAUUCGUUAUUAAUUAUUAAUUAUCUAUUUUAUUACAAGAAAAUCACUUUAUGUAAAACAAAACGAAAAGAAUAAUAAAAAAAAUUAUAUAUUUUUCAUCACA